Molecule: ribosomal RNA, 492 nt
Filed under: uncultured bacterium
Lineage: Bacteria
Description: partial 16S ribosomal RNA
Rfam family: Bacterial small subunit ribosomal RNA
Source: RNAcentral
AGUGAACGCUGGCGGUAGGCCUAACACAUGCAAGUCGAACGGCAGCACAGUAAGAGCUUGCUCUUACGGGUGGCGAGUGGCGGACGGGUGAGGAAUACAUCGGACUCUACUUUUUCGUGGGGGAUAACGUAGGGAAACUUACGCUAAUACAGCAUACGACCUACGGGUGAAAGCAGGGGAUCUUCGGACCUUGCGCGAUUGAAUGAGCCGAUGUCGGAUUAGCUAGUUGGCGGGGUAAAGGCCCACCAAGGCGACGAUCCGUAGCUGGUCUGAGAGGAUGAUCAGCCACACUGGAACUGAGACACGGUCCAGACUCCUACGGGAGGCAGCAGUGGGGAAUAUUGGACAAUGGGCGCAAGCCUGAUCCAGCCAUACCGCGUGGGUGAAGAAGGCCUUCGGGUUGUAAAGCCCUUUUGUUGGGAAAGAAAAGCAGCAGGUUAAUACCCCGCUGUUCUGACGGUACCCAAAGAAUAAGCACCGGCUAACUCCGUG